RNAcentral lists this long non-coding RNA (1694 nucleotides) under Homo sapiens (human). RNAcentral's name for it is "HSALNT0369025". The record is from RNAcentral. Lineage: Eukaryota; Metazoa; Chordata; Mammalia; Primates; Hominidae.
UAAAAGUAUGAAGCGGUUCACUUUGUCAAAUGCUGCUGAGAUGAACAAGAUGAUCACUGGAAUUAGCACUGAGGAAUCAUGGGAGAAAUCCUGGAGGAGCAGUUUCAGCUGGGUGAGGAUAGAAGCCAGAUUAGAGAGGGUUGAAAAGACACUGGGAGGUGAGGUCAUGGAGUUGGUAAGUACAGACAUACUUCCCCAGAAGUCUUGCUGUAAAGGGAGCAGAGAAUGGAGUUGCAGUUGGAGGAUUAUGUAGGGUCAGUGGAGUAUUUGUUGUAAGAUGGAAGGUUACUAGGGCAGACUGUAGAAUGAUGGAGGUGAUCCAGCUAAAAGGGACAAACUAGGGAUGCAGGAAACAGCCUGACUUGGAGUAGUGAGAGGGAUGGGAGGGAAACUGCAUGUGGAGUCAGUGCUGUUGGCAGGAGCAGAGGCUCUUCAUCCUGAUAAUAGGAGGGAAGGAAGGAAGGAUGGGCCUGUGGGAAGGUAUGACUGCUGCUUUGGGAUGUAGAAGGGAAAGCUUGGUAUGAAGUUGCUUUUGUUUUAGAAGUGUAAUAUGAGGCCAGGUUAUCUGCUGAGAGCAGAGGAGGGUGGAGGAUAAGGGGGCAGAGGAGGAGGCUGAAUGUGUGUCUUGAGGCUUUGAAGAGAGAAGAGGAAAAGUAAAAUAGUAACAGUCAUUUUGGAGACUAGGGACAUAAAAAUGGAAGGAUUGUAGAGAAGUAACUAAAAUGGUCAGGCAGACUUGAGGGCUCAUUUGAGAUUUAUGGUUAUGAAUUUAAAGUGAGACCUGUCAGCAUGCUUGUGAAUUUUUCUCCAGCAAUAUCUGACUAUUUAAGUGAGGUAAGUGACGAUAUAAGAGAUAUUAAGAGCACCAAAUCAUAUUUUUUCAAAUAUCUGUAUUCUUUUCUUCAGAGACACUAUAGGAGUCUAAAUAAAAACAGACAAGGCAUGUGUUGCAAAGCCUUUAAUUAGAAUGUUUGUAUUUUUUACAUCAUGCAUAACUUCACAUUUGUGAUUAAUUAGUAAUUAUUUCAAUACUUGUAAGCUCAUCUGCCUCAGAUUUAAUCAUAAUACAUGAAUUAAAUUAAUCAAAUUAAGGAACAGCAAUUUAGAAAGAAACACACUUUAAGAAAUCAAAAUUCUCAAUUCAGGCAGUCUGUUUCUAUCAUUUGGUAUUCUACUCCUUUAAAAAUUUCAUAUUGCCCAACAAAAAGUGGUUAUUUUUACUGUUUUUGGAGAUGACUGAACAGAUGAAGGCAUCAGAUGCCUUCAUCAGCUGGUAUUUUGCCUAAGAUCUAUUUAAGAUAACCUUUUCUUAUAUUUUUUACUUAAUAUUGGGCAUAAUCGUAUCAUUCAAGAUUAAGUCUGGGUUAUUUCUUUGAUAAGAACUGAAUGUGGCCGGGCGCAGUGGCUCACGCCUGUAAUCCCAGCACUUUGGGAGGCUGAGGCAGGAGAAUGGCGUGAACCCGGGAGGUGGAGGUUGCAGUGAGCCGAGAUUGCGCCACUGCACUCCAGCCUGGGCGACAGAGCGAGACUGUCUCAAAAAAAAAAAGAACGGAAUGUACUGGAGAUGUAUUUGAUAACCAAGGUUUUAGCUAAUUCUUUUGUAUUUUUAGUAGAGACAGGGUUUCACCGUGUUAGCCAGGAUGGUCUCGAUCUCCUGACCUCAUGAUCCGCUUGCCUCGGCCUCCCAAAGUGCU